RNAcentral lists this ribosomal RNA (434 nucleotides) under uncultured Roseburia sp. RNAcentral describes it as "partial 16S ribosomal RNA". It matches the Rfam family "Bacterial small subunit ribosomal RNA", at positions 341 to 792 of the family's 1533-position model. The record is from RNAcentral. Lineage: Bacteria; Bacillati; Bacillota; Clostridia; Lachnospirales; Lachnospiraceae.
ACGGAAGGCAGCAGUGGGGAAUAUUGCACAAUGGGGGAAACCCUGAUGCAGCGACGCCGCGUGGGUGAUGAAGUAUUUCGGUACGUAAAACCCUAUCAGCAGGGAAGAUAAUGACGGUACCUGACUAAGAAGCCCCGGCUAAAUACGUGCCAGCAGCCGCGGUAAUACGUAUGGGGCAAGCGUUAUCCGGAUUUACUGGGUGUAAAGGGAGCGCAGGCGGUACGGCAAGUUGGGUGUGAAAACCCGGGGCUCAACCCCGGGAGUGCACCCAAAACUGUCGAACUAGAGUGUCGGAGGGGCAAGCGGAAUUCCUAGUGUAGCGGUGAAAUGCGUAGAUAUUAGGAGGAACACCGGUGGCGAAGGCGGCUUGCUGGACGAAUACUGACGCUGAGGCUCGAAAGCGUGGGGAGCAAACAGGAUUAGAUACCCUGGUA